RNAcentral lists this ribosomal RNA (434 nucleotides) under uncultured bacterium. RNAcentral's name for it is "partial 16S ribosomal RNA". It matches the Rfam family "Bacterial small subunit ribosomal RNA", at positions 29 to 507 of the family's 1533-position model. The record is from RNAcentral.
AGCGAACGCUGGCGGCAGGCCUAACACAUGCAAGUCGAACGAACCUUUCGGGGUUAGUGGCGUACGGGUGAGUAACACGUGGGAACGUGCCUUUAGGUUCGGAAUAACUCAGGGAAACUUGUGCUAAUACCGAAUGUGCCCUUCGGGGGAAAGAUUAAUCGCCUUUAGAGCGGCCCGCGUCUGAUUAGCUAGUUGGUUGAGGUAAUGGCUCACCAAGGCGACGAUCAGUAGCUGGUCUGAGAGGAUGAUCAGCCACAUUGGGACUGAGACACGGCCCAAACUCCUACGCGAGGCAGCAGUGGGGAAUCUUGCGCAAUGGGCGAAAGCCUGACGCAGCCAUGCCGCGUGAAUGAUGAAGGUCUUAGGAUUGUAAAAUUCUUUCACCGGGGACGAUAAUGACGGUACCCGGAGAAGAAGCCCCGGCUAACUUCGUG